This 253-nucleotide ribosomal RNA is filed under the name uncultured bacterium. RNAcentral's name for it is "partial 16S ribosomal RNA". It matches the Rfam family "Bacterial small subunit ribosomal RNA", at positions 524 to 776 of the family's 1533-position model. The record is from RNAcentral.
UACGUAGGUGGCAAGCGUUGUCCGGAUUUACUGGGUGUAAAGGGCGUGCAGCCGGGAGUGCAAGUCAGAUGUGAAAUCCCGCGGCUCAACCGCGGAACUGCAUUUGAAACUGUGCUUCUUGAGUGCUGGAGAGGCGGACGGAAUUCCUAGUGUAGCGGUGAAAUGCGUAGAUAUUAGGAGGAACACCGGUGGCGAAGGCGGCCUGCUGGACUGCAACUGACGUUGAGGCCCGAAAGCGUGGGGAGCGAACAGG